Perkinsus marinus ATCC 50983 is the source of this 58-nucleotide non-coding RNA. The record is from Rfam. Lineage: Eukaryota; Perkinsozoa; Perkinsida; Perkinsidae.
UAGCUCAGUCGGCGGAGCGCGUGCCUUUUAAGCCCGUGGCCGCGGGUUCGAGCUCCGC